Molecule: ribosomal RNA, 377 nt
Filed under: uncultured bacterium
Lineage: Bacteria
Description: bacterial SSU rRNA
Rfam family: Bacterial small subunit ribosomal RNA
Source: RNAcentral
GUAGUCCACGCCGUAAACGAUGAACACUUGGUGUUGGAGGUAUUGACCCCUUCAGUGCCGCAGCUAACGCGUUAAGUGUUCCGCCUGGGAAGUACGGUCGCAAGAUUAAAACUCAAAGAAAUUGACGGGGGCCCGCACAAGCGGUGGAGCAUGUGGUUUAAUUCGAUGCAACGCGAAGAACCUUACCUGGGUUUAACAUCCCGGUGACCGGUAUAGAGAUAUACCUUUCCUUCGGGACACCGGUGAUAGGUGCUGCAUGGCUGUCGUCAGCUCGUGUCGUGAGAUGUUGGGUUAAGUCCCGCAACGAGCGCAACCCUUGCCUUUAGUUGCCAGCAUUAAGUUGGGCACUCUAGAGGGACUGCCGACGUUAAGUCGGA